AUGCGCACAGUAGCCGCCCUGGCCUUCUUCUGCUGCCACAGUCUUCCAUGCAGCCACUGGGCCUGGCUCCUCGCUCGGUCCAGUUCAUCAUCAGGGAAGGGGGGGGUUGCAUUCCUACUACCGGCGGCCUCGUUGCUGCUGCUGCGUAGCCCAAGAUUUCACUCUUUCGGAGCAAUCUGGAAAUGUUGGGCGCCACUGGCAUGUAAAAUCUUCAUGUGGCUGGCAGUGCAAUAUCGACUGUGGACGUCGGACAGAAGGGCUAGACACGGUUUGCAAGACCAAACGUCUAAAUGCUACUUUUGUGAUCAAGAGGAAGACACAGUCGACCACAUCUUGCUGCAAUGUGUGUUCUCGAGGCAAGUGUGGUACCUGUGCAUGUCGAGGAUGGGAUUGAGAGUGGAGCUUUGCCCAACAUAUGGAUCCCAUUUGGUGCAAUGGUGGACGGAAGCUAGAAAGCGCAUACAAAAGCAAACUCGGAAAAGAUUUGACACAUUCGUGAUGCUCAUUUGCUGGACACUCUGGAAACAGAGGAACGCAAGAGUGUUCGGAUCAAACCAUAUCAAAAAUGAAUGGGAGACGGUGGACUUGAUCUUCGAUGACUUGAGGACUUGGGCUACGGCAGGAGCAUCUGGAGGAAGACCGAUACCCGAGUAG
This 654-nucleotide ribosomal RNA is filed under the name Triticum aestivum (bread wheat). RNAcentral describes it as "partial small subunit ribosomal RNA". The record is from RNAcentral. Lineage: Eukaryota; Viridiplantae; Streptophyta; Magnoliopsida; Poales; Poaceae.